GAUGAACGCUGGCGGCGUGCCUAAUGCAUGCAAGUCGAGCGAACAGACGAGGAGCUUGCUCCUCUGACGUUAGCGGCGGACGGGUGAGUAACACGUGGAUAACCUACCUAUAAGACUGGGAUAACUUCGGGAAACCGGAGCUAAUACCGGAUAAUAUAUUGAACCGCAUGGUUCAAUAGUGAAAGACGGUUUUGCUGUCACUUAUAGAUGGAUCCGCGCCGCAUUAGCUAGUUGGUAAGGUAACGGCUUACCAAGGCAACGAUGCGUAGCCGACCCGAGAGGGUGAUCGGCCACACUGGAACUGAGACACGGUCCAGACUCCUACGGGGGGCAGCAGUAGGGAAUCUUCCGCAAUGGGCGAAAGCCUGACGGAGCAACGCCGCGUGAGUGAUGAAGGUCUUCGGAUCGUAAAACUCUGUUAUUAGGGAAGAACAAAUGUGUAAGUAACUAUGCACGUCUUGACGGUACCUAAUCAGAAAGCCACGGCUAACUACGUG
This 497-nucleotide ribosomal RNA is filed under the name uncultured bacterium. RNAcentral's name for it is "partial 16S ribosomal RNA". It matches the Rfam family "Bacterial small subunit ribosomal RNA", at positions 28 to 507 of the family's 1533-position model. The record is from RNAcentral.